GAUGAACGCUGGCGGCGUGCCUAAUACAUGCAAGUCGAGCGAACAGACGAGGAGCUUGCUCCUCUGACGUUAGCGGCGGACGGGUGAGUAACACGUGGAUAACCUACCUAUAAGACUGGGAUAACUUCGGGAAACCGGAGCUAAUACCGGAUAAUAUAUUGAACCGCAUGGUUCAAUAGUGAAAGACGGUUUUGCUGUCACUUAUAGAUGGAUCCGCGCCGCAUUAGCUAGUUGGUAAGGUAACGGCUUACCAAGGCAACGAUGCGUAGCCGACCUGAGAGGAAGAGCAGACACAAGGGAACGGAGAAAAGGUAGAGACUCAGACGGGCGGCAGCAGUGGGGAAUAUGGGACUAUGGGAGAAAGCCGGAGCCAGACAGACAGCGUGGGUGAAGAAGGUCUUCGGGUGGUAAAGACCUUGUGUGGGGAAAGAAAAGAAGCAGGUGAAAAACACGAUGUGAUGAAGGUACCUAAAGAAAAAGAAACGGCGAACUUCGUG
RNAcentral lists this ribosomal RNA (497 nucleotides) under uncultured bacterium. Its description in RNAcentral is "partial 16S ribosomal RNA". It matches the Rfam family "Bacterial small subunit ribosomal RNA", at positions 28 to 507 of the family's 1533-position model. The record is from RNAcentral.